GACGAACGCUGUCGGCGUGCUUAACACAUGCAAGUCGAACGGAAAGGCCCUGCUUUUGUGGGGUGCUCGAGUGGCGAACGGGUGAGUAACACGUGAGUAACCUGCCCUUGACUUUGGGAUAACUUCAGGAAACUGGGGCUAAUACCGGAUAGGAGCUCCUGCUGCAUGGUGGGGGUUGGAAAGUUUCGGCGGUUGGGGAUGGACUCGCGGCUUAUCAGCUUGUUGGUGGGGUAGUGGCUUACCAAGGCUUUGACGGGUAGCCGGCCUGAGAGGGUGACCGGCCACAUUGGGACUGAGAUACGGCCCAGACUCCUACGGGAGGCAGCAGUGGGGAAUAUUGCACAAUGGGCGGAAGCCUGAUGCAGCAACGCCGCGUGCGGGAUGACGGCCUUCGGGUUGUAAACCGCUUUCGCCUGUGACGAAGCGUGAGUGACGGUAAUGGGUAAAGAAGCACCGGCUAACUACGUGCCAGCAGCCGCGGUGAUACGUAGGGUGCGAGCGUUGUCCGGAUUUAUUGGGCGUAAAGGGCUCGUAGGUGGUUGAUCGCGUCGGAAGUGUAAUCUUGGGGCUUAACCCUGAGCGUGCUUUCGAUACGGGUUGACUUGAGGAAGGUAGGGGAGAAUGGAAUUCCUGGUGGAGCGGUGGAAUGCGCAGAUAUCAGGAGGAACACCAGUGGCGAAGGCGGUUCUCUGGGCCUUUCCUGACGCUGAGGAGCGAAAGCGUGGGGAGCGAACAGGCUUAGAUACCCUGGUAGUCCACGCUGUAAACGGUGGGUACUAGGUGUGGGGUCCAUUCCACGGGUUCCGUGCCGUAGCUAACGCUUUAAGUACCCCGCCUGGGGAGUACGGCCGCAAGGCUAAAACUCAAAGGAAUUGACGGGGCCCCGCACAAGCGGCGGAGCAUGCGGAUUAAUUCGAUGCAACGCGUAGAACCUUACCUGGGUUUGACAUGGAUCGGGAGUGCUCAGAGAUGGGUGUGCCUCUUUUGGGGUCGGUUCACAGGUGGUGCAUGCCUGUCGUCAGCUCGUGUCGUGAGAUGUUGGGUUAAGUCCCGCAACGAGCGCAACCCUUGUUCACUGUUGCCAGCACGUUAUGGUGGGGACUCAGUGGAGACCGCCGGGGUCAACUCGGAGGAAGGUGGGGAUGACGUCGAGUCCUCAUGCCCCUUAUGUCCAGGGCUUCACGCAUGCUACAAUGGCUGGUACAGAGAGUGGCGAGCCUGUGAGGGUGAGCGAAUCUCGGAAAGCCGGUCUCAGUUCGGAUUGGGGUCUGCAACUCGACCUCAUGAAGUCGGAGUCGCUAGUAAUCGCAGAUCAGCAACGCUGCGGUGAAUACGUUCCCGGGGCU
Molecule: ribosomal RNA, 1346 nt
Filed under: uncultured bacterium
Lineage: Bacteria
Description: bacterial SSU rRNA
Rfam family: Bacterial small subunit ribosomal RNA
Source: RNAcentral